GGCUCAGAUUGAACGCUGGCGGCAUGCUUUACACAUGCAAGUCGAACGGCAGCACGAAAGAGCUUGCUCUUUUGGUGGCGAGUGGCGAACGGGUGAGUAAUACAUUGGAACGUACCGAGUAAUGGGGGAUAACUGUCCGAAAGGAUGGCUAAUACCGCAUACGCUCUGAGGAGGAAAGCGGGGGACCUUCGGGCCUCGCGUUAUUCGAGCGGCCAAUGUCUGAUUAGCUAGUUGGUGGGGUAAAAGCCUACCAAGGCGACGAUCAGUAGUGGGUCUGAGAGGAUGAUCCGCCACACUGGGACUGAGACACGGCCCAGACUCCUACGGGAGGCAGCAGUGGGGAAUUUUGGACAAUGGGCGAAAGCCUGAUCCAGCCAUGCCGCGUGUCUGAAGAAGGCCUUCGGGUUGUAAAGGACUUUUGUCAGGGAAGAAAGGGUUUGGGUUAAUACCCUAAGCUUAUGAC
This 463-nucleotide ribosomal RNA is filed under the name Neisseria arctica. RNAcentral describes it as "bacterial SSU rRNA". It matches the Rfam family "Bacterial small subunit ribosomal RNA", at positions 21 to 473 of the family's 1533-position model. Lineage: Bacteria; Pseudomonadati; Pseudomonadota; Betaproteobacteria; Neisseriales; Neisseriaceae. The record is from RNAcentral.